This 174-nucleotide small RNA is filed under the name Paenibacillus curdlanolyticus. RNAcentral's name for it is "c-di-AMP sequence". It matches the Rfam family "c-di-AMP riboswitch aptamer (ydaO/yuaA leader)". From Rfam's summary of the family: This family represents a conserved RNA structure found upstream of the ydaO and yuaA genes in Bacillus subtilis and related genes in other bacteria. The ydaO/yuaA element is thought to act as a genetic "off" switch for the ydaO and yuaA genes in its native state. Lineage: Bacteria; Bacillati; Bacillota; Bacilli; Caryophanales; Paenibacillaceae. The record is from RNAcentral. RNAcentral also lists the same sequence under 1 other name.
AUUCCUGUAUCGCUGAAUUCUGCAAGAACAGAAACGGGGGAACCAUCGAGACUGGCAUUAUUGUUAAGCCAGAACGUAUCCAGUCUCAGGGGUGAAUUGCUCGCAAGUGGAGCAUAGGGCUACUUCAAAGCCCGAAUCCGACAGCUAACCUCGUAAGCGUACUGAAGAGGAACU